This 23-nucleotide microRNA is filed under the name Gallus gallus (chicken). RNAcentral's name for it is "gga-miR-7447-5p". Lineage: Eukaryota; Metazoa; Chordata; Aves; Galliformes; Phasianidae. The record is from miRBase by way of RNAcentral.
AAAGUUGGUAGUGAUUGCUGAUG